This 119-nucleotide ribosomal RNA is filed under the name Diaphorina citri (Asian citrus psyllid). The record is from RNAcentral. Lineage: Eukaryota; Metazoa; Arthropoda; Insecta; Hemiptera; Psyllidae.
GCCAACGUUCAUAUCACGUUGAAUACACCAGUUCUCGUCCGAUCACUGAAGUUAAGCAACGUUGAGCGUGGAUAGUACUUGGAUGGGUGACCGCUUGGGAACACUAUGUAACGUUGGCA